GGAAGAGGAGGGAAAAUAAAUGUGUGUGUUUUUUGUUGGACUCUCUGGAAAGGAAAUCCUGGCCCUCUUCUUCUCGGGAAGUCAAUUUCGCGGUAACAAUGGCUAUCUCAAUGGUGUUUCUUCCGGUGGCGAUCCCCUGAGACUGUUUCGUUAGGGCAUUUUUCUUUUUUCAGUAGAGUAACUGCUUUCGUCUUCUGAAGUUUCUUUGGAGUAAACUACAAUGGCCGAUAGCGCUAAAUCAGUUCUUGAAGAGGAAACUUCGAAGCUUGAAACCAAGUCCAAGCGCGGCGUAGAUGUCGAGGAUGCUGAUGUCACUGUGAAGAAGUUUAAAACGGAAGCUACUGCCGAUGUAGCCGACAAAACUGGAGACUGUGCCGGCAGGAAGUUGGAAACUGUUAAUGGUGAUGAAGAAAAUAAGGUCAUCAGGAUGGGAGUCAAGUUUGAGAUUGAAGCGGAUGCAGCAGAAGAUAAAGGGUCCAGGCAUACAAUGGAGGAUGCUUGGGUUUUGCUUUUGGAUGCGAGCUUGGAUUUUCCUGGGAAAUUGAGAUGUGCACAUUUUGCUAUCUAUGAUGGACAUGGAGGUCGGUUAGCUGCCGAGUACGCUCAAAAGCAUUUGCAUGUGAAUGUUCUCUCAGCCGGGUUACCACGUGAGUUGUUGGAUGUAAAAGCAACUAAAAAGGCAAUACUUGAUGGGUUCCGGAAAACUGAUGAGUCUCUUCUUCAAGAAAGUUCUGCUGGGGGAUGGCAGGAUGGUGCUACUGCUGUUUGCGUUUGGGUAUUAGGUCAAACGGUUUUUGUUGCUAAUGUUGGUGAUGCUAAAGCAGUUGUAGCACGAUCUUCGACUACUGAAAAAUUGUCUAAUAAUCUUAAUGGAGGAAGCUCUUUAAAGGCUAUUGUUUUGACAAGGGAACACAAGGCAAUCUACCCACAAGAAAGAGCUCGUAUUCAAAAGUUAAAAAGGAAAAUGAAUUAUACCAGGCUGGUGGCGUUGUUGGUUCAAAUGGUCGAUUGCAGGGCCGUCUUGAAGUUUCUCGGGCACUUGGAGAUCGCCAAUUUAAAAAGUUGGGCGUUAUUGCAACUCCAGACAUUCAUUCUUUUGAAUUGACUGAUAGGGAGCAUUUUAUCAUUCUCGGAUGUGAUGGACUUUGGGGGGUUUUUGGACCAAGCGAUGCUGUCGAUUUUGUCCAGAAAUUAUUGCAGGAGGGCUUGCCCAUAACAUCAGUAAGUCGACGUCUUGUGAGGGAAGCUAUUCGUGAACGGCGCUGUAAAGAUAACUGUACUGCAAUGGUCAUUGUUUUCAGGCCCAAGUGAUUAAGCAAGAAUAGUCGCGAACGAUGUGAGAUUUCCAUGUUACUGGUGCUGUACAAGCGAACUCCCAAGACGUUUAAGUUUUUUUGUACGAGUGGACCGCUUUACUUGGGAUUGUGGAAUUCGCCAGAGUUAGAGAUGUCGAGUUUGAAAACUGAUGUGGAAACAGUGGGGUACCCAGUGUUAAGUUUUGUUUGCAGUUACUUCAGUUUCAAGAUUUUGUAAGAUACUGAUGUCACUACCUUCCAACGAUUUUGUGGAAGUAAAGAUUUUCUUAGUUGUUUGCAUGUUUGUGGAAUACGUGUAAACACAACUGUAGUGCCGAUUUCAUGCUUAGAUAUGUAUUCUUGUUUAUGACCAAACAAUCAGGAGUGAUGAUUUCAUGAUUGGAACUCGAUGAUAUUCAUAACUAGAAUCACUUAAAAGUAGGGACUUGUUGAUUGCCCUUUUGGAUU
Non-coding RNA from Cucurbita pepo subsp. pepo (vegetable marrow), 1763 nucleotides. Lineage: Eukaryota; Viridiplantae; Streptophyta; Magnoliopsida; Cucurbitales; Cucurbitaceae. The record is from RefSeq and is a predicted model, not a curated record.